Arabidopsis lyrata subsp. lyrata is the source of this 1630-nucleotide long non-coding RNA. RefSeq lists it as uncharacterized. The record is from RefSeq and is a predicted model, not a curated record. The transcript has 5 exons. NCBI's taxonomy places the organism in Eukaryota, Viridiplantae, Streptophyta, Magnoliopsida, Brassicales, Brassicaceae.
UCUGGCCCAAACCCACAAUCUUUAGCUCUAAUAUGAACUUUUGGACUUGACAUUUAGGCCUAUCACAUAACAUGUAGACCUAUAACGUCUAGAUGUUCUGUUGUCUCCUCUGCAAUUCAUCGGAAACGUCAUCUCCUCUGCAGUUCAUCGGAACCGUCGUUGCUUCAUUCAUGGCUGGAGACAUUUGCUCAUCUGGAAUCCCAUGAAUAAGACGUUGUUGGCCGGCUCUUACGAUUUUGGGAUGCCCGUAAUAUUAAAAAAACGGUGAAUUCAUGGGCAUAGUCGUCCUCUUGCUCGACGAGAAGGUAACAUAUAAAUAUAUCCUUCUAAAUUUCAAUUUUAGUAGUUAUUUUGGUCUAAAAAAUGGUUACUUAAUUUGUCGUGCCUUUUAUUUUUCUUAUAUGUAAUUGUUUAGUGUUAGUGUUGUUCCAUAACUUAAUCCAUUUUACAACUAUCACAUGUCUGGGAUUGAUUUUGCAAAAACUUAGUUUUAGUUGUUUGGUUUCUUUAGCCGUUUGAAUAGUCUCAUCUCUACUUAUGAGUGGUGAUCUUAAAGUGAAAUGAUAGUCAAAUGCAUGAUUUAUAUAUUCUCGAUGAGAAGGUUGCGUUUAAGAAUCUCCUUUCAAUUUUAAUAUAUAUAUAUAAACAUUUACACAUUUUUUUUGCAGUGUUCACUAAUCCACUGUUUUAUCCCAGCUGUUCGUGCCAGCCAAUUCCGCAAUGUUUUACAAGAAGGGCGAAUCUUUUGUGUUGGAGGGUUUGAAGUGGGAAGGUGCACAAACCUCUACAAAAUUACUGACAACCCAUUUGUCAUCCGUUUCCUACCUUCAACAACAAUUGUUGAAGUGAAUCACGUUGGAGCUACAAUAGAAAGAGAAAAAUUUAUGCUUCGCAAAGGAAAUCAUCUCCAAGCUCUUGCAAACAUUAAUCUUGAACUACCAGGUCUACCAUUGUGUACCUAUCAUUAUGGGAUGACGCAGCUGCAACCUUUCAAGCUUAUCUCACUUCUGGAGACACGAUAAAUUCUGUCAUGUUGGUAACUACAAUAAAUCCAAAGCUGUUUGGAGGUAAUUUGUAUUUGAACUCCACUCCAACAACCCGGUUUUAUUUCGACCUUUCCAUUGAGGCAAUCAACCAAUUUACAAAAAGGUCAUGCUUAUUACAACUAAUAAUUUCAAAGUACCAUUGAGGUUAUCAAAAUCUAACCGAGUUGUUUCUUAUGGAGGAUGGGAAUAGAAGCUACCAAGCAUUUGCAAAAGCAGACACAUCCGAAGGAAUAAAAAAAAAGAAAUGCUUUGCAUUGCUGAACUUUACAAGUUCAUAUCAAACUCUAAUGAACAGACACAGGAAGCUGAUUUCAUUUGCACCGCCAAAGUUCCUGAUGUCCUACAAAAAAGUGGUUGGUCAUAUGUUUCAUGUGCUAUGUGCAGCCGCAAAUUAGACAAAUAUGGAACAACCUUACGAUGCCCAAAAUGCAUUUCUGAGACUGUCACUGGCGUUGUGAGGUAUUAAAAUAUUUCACUGGCGAAUUUCUUCUUGAUGCAAGAAGUUUAAAAGCUGUUGCUAUUGAACACCCAAAGGGUGCUAAGAAAGAAAUUGAUUCCAUUUAUUACAUAGACUAUGAAAACUA